CAGAAUAAGCGUAAUGGAAUAUAUGAGUCUGUGUGGUGCAAAUAAUUCUUAUCCUGUGCAAUAUUGUUAGGAUAGCUUGUAAAUUUUUAAAUUCCUUUUUGCAAUAGACUCUGGAUAAAGAGGAAAAUCAAGUGAUUGGUACAAGGUGACAUCUUGGAGGGGUUCCAUAAUUGUUGGUGGAAUUCACGGGGAUCGGAUUUAGAAAGAUUGAAACACUUUGUAUUUGACGUCUUCAUGCUUGUGUAGUGUGCAGCAUUUCAAACAUUUUACGACUGAAAAUCUAAAAGCAUUAUCUUCCAAAUCCGUUAUUAGUUAUAAAAUGAUGUUCUUCCAGUUUCUUCCUUAAUUCCAUAUGAUUGACAACUUCGUAAGUAGGUUCACUUCAAUCAUUGGCGUUGAAUGCAGUAACUUUAACUAGUUCGGAAUUUGUUAAAAUUAGAAAUUUUGAAGAUUUUCAUUUUUUUGGGGGAGUUGUCGUAUUUUGGGAAAAUAAUUUGGUAAAAAAAGGUAGCGUUUGUUUGUAUUUUGAGUUAUAGUUUGGGGGAGACAUUUUGCACCAUAGGUUGUACGGGUCAAGUUAUGUAUGAAAGUAUUAGAAGAAAGAAAGAAGAAUAUUAUUAUCCAUUUGUGCAUUAUGUAUUUACCCCGAUUUAUCUUUCGAAAACCAAAAUUGAUGGUAAUGACUAAUGCGAGUUUUUUUCUGACAGGCAAAAAAUUAUCUACAAGACUGCAUCUGGUGUUUGUUUGGUUCCUUUUUUUGCUGCUGUCAAAAUAAACAAGUGUCUCGUUGACGAAAGAGGCAAAACGAUCUAUAAGACUGCAUGCGCUGGUGUUUGUUUGGUUCCAUUGACAUUGAGCUUUGGUUAAUCUUGGGUGGUGUGAUUCUUUUUUUUUUCUGGUGCUGCCAAAUAAAGAAGUGUCUCGUUGAUGCAAGAGGUUCGAUAUAUUCUUUCGACUGUAUCGAAUAUGAAUCUGGCGAUUGAGUUUCGGUAAAAUGCUUCUGCAUGACCAUGGUGUUUGGAUUUUUAGUUUUUGAUGUGUGCAGACAAAUUUGAUGCUGAAAGAUUGAUUUAUUUGAGCAACAGUAAGUUUGGUGAGUAAUGUAUUUUUCGCAGAUCUUUUGUGAAAUAUAAAUGAUUUUUUUUUUCUGCUUCAA
Molecule: RNA transcript, 1156 nt
Organism: Erythranthe guttata (spotted monkey flower)
Lineage: Eukaryota; Viridiplantae; Streptophyta; Magnoliopsida; Lamiales; Phrymaceae
Gene name: F-box protein At5g39450 pseudogene
Source: RefSeq, a predicted model, not a curated record